RNAcentral lists this ribosomal RNA (449 nucleotides) under uncultured eukaryote. RNAcentral's name for it is "bacterial SSU rRNA". It matches the Rfam family "Eukaryotic small subunit ribosomal RNA", at positions 592 to 1000 of the family's 1831-position model. The record is from RNAcentral.
CAACAGUGUAUGCUAAAGUUGUUGCGGUUGAAAAGCUCGUAGUUGGAUUUUGGGCGGGCGCAACCGGUCCGUUGAAAAGCUCGUAGUUGGAUUUUGGGCGGGCGCAACCGGUCCGUCGCAGGGCGUGUCACUGGUUGCGUUCGCCUCACCUUCGGUUCUCCGUCGGUGCUCUUGACUGAGUGUCGGCGGUGGCCGAUAAGUUUACUUUGAAAAAAUUAGAGUGUUCAAAGCAGGCUGCUCGCCUGCAUAGUGUUGCAUGGAAUAAUGGAAUAGGACCUCGGUUCUAUUUUGUUGGUUUUCGGAGCGCGAGGUAAUGAUUAAGAGGGACAGACGGGGGCGUCCGUACUCUGCCGUUAGAGGUGAAAUUCUUGGAUCGGCGGAAGACGAACUACUGCGAAAGCAUUCGCCAAGAAUGUUUUCUUUAAUCAAGAGCGAAAGUCAGAGAUUCG